RNAcentral lists this ribosomal RNA (477 nucleotides) under uncultured bacterium. RNAcentral's name for it is "partial 16S ribosomal RNA". It matches the Rfam family "Bacterial small subunit ribosomal RNA", at positions 28 to 523 of the family's 1533-position model. The record is from RNAcentral.
GAUGAACGCUGGCGGCGUGCUUAAUACAUGCAAGUCGAACGGAGGUAAGUAGCAAUAUUUACUUUAGUGGCGAACGGGUGAGUAACGCGUUGGUGACCUGCCCCAGAGAGUGGGAUAACAGUUCGAAAGGACUGCUAAUACCGCAUGACGUUGUGGUAGUUAGAGAGCUACAACGAAAGGCGAAAGCCGCUCUGGGAGGGGCCUGCGUCCCAUCAGCUAGUUGGUAGGGUAAAGGCCACCAAGGCGACGACGGGUAGGGGACCUGAGAGGGUGACCCCCCACACUGGCACUGAAACACGGGCCAGACACCUACGGGUUGCAGCAGUAGGGAAUAUUGCACAAUGGGCGAAAGCCUGAUGCAGCAACGCCGCGUGCGCGAUGAAGGCCUUCGGGUCGUAAAGCGCUUUUCGAGGAGAUGAGGAAGGACAGUAUCCUCGGAAUAAGGAUCGGCUAACUACGUGCCAGCAGCCGCAGUAA